UACGUAGGGUGCGAGCGUUGUCCGGAUUUAUUGGGCGUAAAGAGCUUGUAGGCGGUUUGGCGCGUCUGCCGUGAAAAUUCGAGGCUCAACCUCGAACUUGCGGUGGGUACGGGCAGACUAGAGUGUGGUAGGGGAGACUGGAAUUCCUGGUGUAGCGGUGAAAUGCGCAGAUAUCAGGAGGAACACCGAUGGCGAAGGCAGGUCUCUGGGCCACUACUGACGCUGAGAAGCGAAAGCAUGGGGAGCGAACAGG
RNAcentral lists this ribosomal RNA (253 nucleotides) under uncultured bacterium. RNAcentral's name for it is "partial 16S ribosomal RNA". It matches the Rfam family "Bacterial small subunit ribosomal RNA", at positions 524 to 776 of the family's 1533-position model. The record is from RNAcentral.